This 247-nucleotide ribosomal RNA is filed under the name Salmonella enterica. Its description in RNAcentral is "partial 16S ribosomal RNA". It matches the Rfam family "Bacterial small subunit ribosomal RNA", at positions 1 to 246 of the family's 1533-position model. Lineage: Bacteria; Pseudomonadati; Pseudomonadota; Gammaproteobacteria; Enterobacterales; Enterobacteriaceae. The record is from RNAcentral.
AAAUUGAAGAGUUUGAUCAUGGCUCAGAUUGAACGCUGGCGGCAGGCCUAACACAUGCAAGUCGAACGGUAGCACAGAGAGCUUGCUCUCGGGUGACGAGUGGCGGACGGGUGAGUAAUGUCUGGGAAACUGCCUGAUGGAGGGGGAUGACUACUGGAAACGGUGGCUAAUACCGCAUAACGUCGCAAGACCAAAGAGGGGGACCUUCGGGCCUCUUGCCAUCAGAUGUGCCCAGAUGGGAUUAGCU